GGGGUAAUAGUUUAAUUGGUUAGAACAAUUGCUUUGCAAGCAGUAGAUCCCGGUUCGAUACCGGUUUACUCCA
RNAcentral lists this transfer RNA (73 nucleotides) under Komagataella kurtzmanii. Its description in RNAcentral is "tRNA-Ala". It matches the Rfam family "tRNA". Rfam says of the family: Transfer RNA (tRNA) molecules are approximately 80 nucleotides in length. Their secondary structure includes four short double-helical elements and three loops (D, anti-codon, and T loops). Further hydrogen bonds mediate the characteristic L-shaped molecular structure. tRNAs have two regions of fundamental functional importance: the anti-codon, which is responsible for specific mRNA codon recognition, and the 3' end, to which the tRNAs corresponding amino acid is attached (by aminoacyl-tRNA synthetases). tRNAs cope with the degeneracy of the genetic code in two manners: having more than one tRNA (with a specific anti-codon) for a particular amino acid; and 'wobble' base-pairing, i.e. permitting non-standard base-pairing at the 3rd anti-codon position. Lineage: Eukaryota; Fungi; Ascomycota; Pichiomycetes; Pichiales; Pichiaceae. The record is from RNAcentral.